AUGGAGUACAUCAAGUUCUUGCAAUUCAAAGGCAUUGAACACGCAAAAAUCAUGAGCAUACUGGGCGACGAUGACCCCGGUGGCUACUUCCUCCAAAUGAAUGCCCGAGACCUGAUUAACGGGAAAACAAAGAAUUUAAGGAUGGAUGAUGUGGACGAUGUCCUGAAGACUAUCAACUUCUUUAGGGAGAUGAAAGCGAUAAUCAAAGAAUUCUUCUCCGACAUACAACUUGAUGAGUCUGACAGGGUGAAGAACAUAUUCUGGGUGAACGCAAGCUGCCGAGGGGCAUACCAAGACUUUGGUGAUUGCGUGACGUUUGACACCACAUAUAAGACCAACAAGUACCGUAUGCCACUUGGGGUGUUUGUGGGUACUAACAACCAUUUGCAAACUACAUUCUUUGCUUUCUCCCUGAUAAGAUAUGAGGAUGCAGAUUCAUUGAUAUGGCUAUUCAAAACACUUUUAGAGUGCAUGAGAGGGAAGGCUCCUACAUGCAUCCUUACAGGAUCCGCUGACCACUCCACAUCUCUUUCUCAUUACUAG
Molecule: ribosomal RNA, 543 nt
Filed under: Triticum aestivum (bread wheat)
Lineage: Eukaryota; Viridiplantae; Streptophyta; Magnoliopsida; Poales; Poaceae
Description: partial small subunit ribosomal RNA
Source: RNAcentral